Long non-coding RNA from Drosophila obscura, 416 nucleotides. RefSeq lists it as uncharacterized. The transcript has 2 exons. NCBI's taxonomy places the organism in Eukaryota, Metazoa, Arthropoda, Insecta, Diptera, Drosophilidae. The record is from RefSeq and is a predicted model, not a curated record.
UAAAAUAAAACAUUUUCUUUUAAAAUCAAAGAAGGCUCUGUUCCAGCCUAAUUUUAUUUCCAAACUGAAUAGUGUCGAAUCCCAAUUUCCAGUUAUAUAAAUUAAAUAAUUCAAACUCAACUAUGAGCACCAGCACAAAGCAGCUUGGACUGUGGGUCUGUCAGCUAAUCCAGAGCCAAAGGCAGCCAACUACCUAUGAUCGACUCAUAACUGAAAUCGAAGAAGGCAGAAACGAGCCGUUGAGCACACAGGAGAGAAUUAAAGUAAAUGCCACAUUGCGCGCUGGCUUACGCCUUGGCUUUUUUCAACGCGUUGGUAAAAGGUUUUUUGUGCCAGCACUCAAUUAGACAAAAGUACGAUUAGAUGCAGCUCAAACUAAACCAAAAUUAAAGCAGUUAUGUAUGUACGAGUAUCAA